ACCAACAGGAAACAACCAGGCAGAGAUUUGGGAAAAAUUGUACAUUGGCCGAUUGUGCUUGCAUCAUUUGUGGAUGUCAUAUCCUAGCUUGAACACACUGCAUACAUGACCCAGUUCCUGGUCACCAUGGAGACUACAGUAAAGCGAGAUUCCAGCCUGAGUUGUGUUGAUGACGCUCCGUUUCCAGCUACUGUACAAAAUGUGGACCUCAGACACCAGACUGACAAUUUUCCACCAGCGCCUGCAGCCCCUCCUCACACAGCCACGCCCCCACGUCCUCCUCUGACCAAUCACUGACCAGAAGCCUGGAGGGACACAGCAACUUUCUGCCUAACAGGUCAGAAAACAGGAAGUGAC
Molecule: long non-coding RNA, 357 nt
Organism: Oncorhynchus keta (chum salmon)
Lineage: Eukaryota; Metazoa; Chordata; Actinopteri; Salmoniformes; Salmonidae
Exons: 3
Source: RefSeq, a predicted model, not a curated record